GCGCCUUGCUUCAAAGCGUAGUGAAAUCACAAUCUCGCUUUGGAAGUGGAGGCAUCGCCCGCCGGACGAACCCAAAUCUUUCCAAGUUUGACCUCGGAUCAGGCGGGGAUACCCGCUGAACUUAAGCAUAUCAAUAAGCGGAGGAAAAGAAACCAACAGGGAUUGCCCUAGUAACGGCGAGUGAAGCGGCAACAGCUCAAAUUUGAAAUCUGGCGCCUUCGGUGCCCGAGUUGUAAUUUGCAGAGGAUGCUUCGGCGUCGGCUCCGGUCUAAGUCCCUUGGAACAGGGCGUCACAGAGGGUGAGAAUCCCGUACGUGGCCGGCCGCCUCAGCCAUGUGAAGCUCCUUCGACGAGUCGAGUUGUUUGGGAAUGCAGCUCUAAACGGGAGGUAAAUUUCUUCUAAAGCUAAAUACCGGCCAGAGACCGAUAGCGCACAAGUAGAGUGAUCGAAAGAUGAAAAGCACUUUGAAAAGAGAGUUAAAAAGUACGUGAAAUUGUUGAAAGGGAAGCGCUUGCAGCCAGACUUGACCGCGGAUGCUCAACCGGCCCUUCGGCCGGUGCACUCUUCCGCGGUCAGGCCAGCGUCGGUUUGGGCGGCCGGAUAAAGGCCCCGGGAAUGUAGCUCCUCUCGGGGAGUGUUAUAGCCCGGGGCGUAAUACGGCCAGCCCGGACCGAGGACCGCGCU
This 685-nucleotide ribosomal RNA is filed under the name fungal sp. ARIZ AZ0970. RNAcentral's name for it is "eukaryotic LSU rRNA". The stretch from base 89 to 685 matches the Rfam family "Eukaryotic large subunit ribosomal RNA", at positions 1 to 601 of the family's 3401-position model. The record is from RNAcentral. Lineage: Eukaryota; Fungi.